Molecule: ribosomal RNA, 640 nt
Filed under: Inocybe sp.
Lineage: Eukaryota; Fungi; Basidiomycota; Agaricomycetes; Agaricales; Inocybaceae
Description: LSU rRNA
Rfam family: Eukaryotic large subunit ribosomal RNA
Source: RNAcentral
CCCCUAGUAACUGCGAGUGAAGCGGGAAAAGCUCAAAUUUGAAAUCUGGCGGUUUUUGACCGUCCGAGUUGUAAUCUAGAGAAGUGUUACCUGUGCUGGACCGUGUAAAAGUCUCCUGGAAUGGAGCAUCAUAGAGGGUGAGAAUCCCGUCUUUGACAUGGACGACCAGUGCGUUGUGGUGCGCUCUCAAAGAGUCGAGUUGUUUGGGAAUGCAGCUCAAAAUGGGUGGUAAAUGCCAUCUAAAGCUAAAUAUUGGCGAGAGACCGAUAGCGAACAAGUACCGUGAGGGAAAGAUGAAAAGCACUUUGGAAAGAGAGUUAAACAGUACGUGAAAUUGCUGAAAGGGAAACGCUUGAAGUCAGUCACGUCGGCUAGAAAUCAGCCUUGCUUCUGCUCGGUGUACUUUCUGGUUGAUGGGUCAGCAUCAAUUUCGACCGCUGGAUAAAGUCUUUGGGAAUGUGGCAUCCUCGGAUGUGUUAUAGCCCAUCGUCGCAUGCAGUGGUUGGGAUUGAGGAACUCAGCACGCCGCAAGGCCGGGUUUCGACCACGUUCGUGCUUAGGAUGCUGGCAUAAUGGCUUUAAUCGACCCGUCUUGAAACACGGACCAAGGAGUCUAACAUGCCUGCGAGUGUUUGGGUGG